Molecule: ribosomal RNA, 253 nt
Filed under: uncultured bacterium
Lineage: Bacteria
Description: partial 16S ribosomal RNA
Rfam family: Bacterial small subunit ribosomal RNA
Source: RNAcentral
UACGUAGGGUGCAAGCGUUGUCCGGAAUUAUUGGGCGUAAAGAGCUCGUAGGCGGUUUGUUGCGUCGGCUGUGAAAUCCCGAGGCUCAACCUCGGGUCUGCAGUCGAUACGAGCAAACUAGAGUGUUGCAGGGGAGACUGGAAUUCCUGGUGUAGCGGUGAAAUGCGCAGAUAUCAGGAGGAACACCGGUGGCGAAGGCGGGUCUCUGGGCCGAUACUGACGCUGAGGAGCGAAAGCAUGGGGAGCGAACAGG